This 529-nucleotide ribosomal RNA is filed under the name uncultured archaeon. Its description in RNAcentral is "bacterial SSU rRNA". It matches the Rfam family "Bacterial small subunit ribosomal RNA", at positions 509 to 1050 of the family's 1533-position model. The record is from RNAcentral.
CAGCCGCCGCGGUAAUACGUAGGUGGCAAGCGUUAUCCGGAAUUAUUGGGCGUAAAGAGUGAGCAGGCGGUCGUUUAAGUCUGAAGUCAAAUGCUGUGGCUCAACCACAGUUCGCUUUGGAAACUGGACGACUAGAGUACGAGAGAAGUAAGCGGAAUUCCAUGUGUAGCGGUGAAAUGCGUAGAUAUAUGGAGGAACACCAGUGGCGAAGGCGGCUUACUAGAUCGAUACUGACGCUCAGUCACGAAAGCGUGGGUAGCAAAUAGGAUUAGAUACCCUAGUAGUCCACGCCGUAAACUAUGAGAACUAGGUGUUUGGGAUGACCAAGCGCCGAAGCUAACGCAUUAAGUUCUCCGCCUGGGGAGUACGGUCGCAAGACUGAAACUUAAAGGAAUUGACGGGAGCCCGCACAAGCAGUGGAGCAUGUGGUUUAAUUCGAAGAUACGCGAAGAACCUUACCAGGGCUUGACAUACCGUUUAACACUCUAGAGAUAGAGGAAUAUAUGACGGAUACAGGUGGUGCAUGGCC